CUGGGCGUUAAGUUGCAGGGUAUAGACCCGAAACCCGGUGAUCUAGCCAUGGGCAGGUUGAAGGUUGGGUAACACUAACUGGAGGACCGAACCGACUAAUGUUGAAAAAUUAGCGGAUGACUUGUGGCUGGGGGUGAAAGGCCAAUCAAACCGGGAGAUAGCUGGUUCUCCCCGAAAGCUAUUUAGGUAGCGCCUCGUGAAUUCAUCUCCGGGGGUAGAGCACUGUUUCGGCAAGGGGGUCAUCCCGACUUACCAACCCGAUGCAAACUGCGAAUACCGGAGAAUGUUAUCACGGGAGACACACGGCGGGUGCUAACGUCCGUCGUGAAGAGGGAAACAACCCAGACCGCCAGCUAAGGUCCCAAAGUCAUGGUUAAGUGGGAAACGAUGUGGGAAGGCCCAGACAGCCAGGAUGUUGGCUUAGAAGCAGCCAUCAUUUAAAGAAAGCGUAAUAGCUCACUGGUCGAGUCGGCCUGCGCGGAAGAUGUAACGGGGCUAAACCAUGCACCGAAGCUGCGGCAGCGACGCUGAUGCGUUGUUGGGUAGGGGAGCGUUCUGUAAGCCUGCGAAGGUGUGCUGUGAGGCAUGCUGGAGGUAUCAGAAGUGCGAAUGCUGACAUAAGUAACGAUAAAGCGGGUGAAAAGCCCGCUCGCCGGAAGACCAAGGGUUCCUGUCCAACGUUAAUCGGGGCAGGGUGAGUCGACCCCUAAGGCGAGGCCGAAAGGCGUAGUCGAUGGGAAACA
RNAcentral lists this ribosomal RNA (743 nucleotides) under Escherichia coli. RNAcentral's name for it is "partial 23S ribosomal RNA". It matches the Rfam family "Bacterial large subunit ribosomal RNA", at positions 688 to 1427 of the family's 2925-position model. The record is from RNAcentral. Lineage: Bacteria; Pseudomonadati; Pseudomonadota; Gammaproteobacteria; Enterobacterales; Enterobacteriaceae.